AGAGUUUGAUCCUGGCUCAGAUUGAACGCUGGCGGCAGGCCUAACACAUGCAAGUCGAGCGGAAACGACACCUUCGGGUGGGCGUCGAGCGGCGGACGGGUGAGUAACGCGUAGGAAUCUGCCCAACGGUGGGGGAUAACCCGGGGAAACUCGGGCUAAUACCGCAUAAUCCUUACGAGGCAAAGCGGAGGACCCUUCGGGGCUUCGCGCCGAUGGAUGAGCCUACGUCUGAUUAGCUUGUUGGUGGGGUAACGGCCUACCAAGGCGACGAUCAGUAGCUGGUCUGAGAGGAUGAUCAGCCACACCGGGACUGAGACACGGCCCGGACUCCUACGGGAGGCAGCAGUGGGGAAUAUUGGACAAUGGGGGAAACCCUGAUCCAGCCAUGCCGCGUGUGUGAAGAAGGCCCUAGGGUUGUAAAGCACUUUAAGCAGGGAAGAAAAGCGCCGGGUUAAUACCCCGAGCGUCUUGACGGUACCUGCAGAAUAAGCACCGGCUAAUUCCGUGCCAGCAGCCGCGGUAAUACGGAAGGUGCAAGCGUUAAUCGGAAUUACUGGGCGUAAAGCGUGCGUAGGCGGUCGCGUGUGUCGGAUGUGAAAGCCCCGGGCUCAACCUGGGAAUUGCAUUCGAAACUGCGUGACUCGAGUGUGGUAGAGGAAGACGGAAUUCCACGUGUAGCGGUGAAAUGCGUAGAUAUGUGGAGGAACACCGAUGGCGAAGGCAGUCUUCUGGGCCAACACUGACGCUGAGGCACGAAAGCGUGGGUAGCGAACAGGAUUAGAUACCCUGGUAGUCCACGCCGUAAACGAUGAGAACUAGACGUUGGUCUGCAUAGCGGAUCAGUGUCGCAGCUAACGCGUUAAGUUCUCCGCCUGGGGAGUACGGCCGCAAGGUUGAAACUCAAAGGAAUUGACGGGGGCCCGCACAAGCGGUGGAGCAUGUGGUUUAAUUCGAUGCAACGCGAAGAACCUUACCUGCCCUUGACAUCAUGUCGCGACCCUGGAGACAGGGUUUUCAGUUCGGCUGGACAUUGACAGGUGCUGCAUGGCUGUCGUCAGCUCGUGUCGUGAGAUGUUGGGUUAAGUCCCGCAACGAGCGCAACCCCUAUCCUUAGUUGCCAGCAGUUCGGCUGGGCACUCUAAGGAGACUGCCGGUGACAAACCGGAGGAAGGUGGGGAUGACGUCAAGUCAUCAUGGCCCUUAUGGGCAGGGCUACACACGUGCUACAAUGGCAAGUACAAAGGGUUGCGAAGCCGCGAGGUGUAGCUAAUCCCAUAAAGCUUGUCGUAGUCCGGAUUGCAGUCUGCAACUCGACUGCAUGAAGUCGGAAUCGCUAGUAAUCGUGGAUCAGCAAUGCCACGGUGAAUACGUUCCCGGGCCUUGUACACACCGCCCGUCACACCAUGGAAGUCGGCUGCACCAGAAGCCGGUAGCCUAACCCUCGGGAGGGCGCCGUCCACGGUGUGGUCGAUGACUGGGGUGAAGUCGUAACAAGGUA
This 1498-nucleotide ribosomal RNA is filed under the name uncultured bacterium. RNAcentral describes it as "bacterial SSU rRNA". It matches the Rfam family "Bacterial small subunit ribosomal RNA". The record is from RNAcentral.